GCUGCGGCAGGAGAGCGCGGGGCCGCGGGGGCGGCGGGGGAGGCCCUCGAUCCCCGGACCUAGACCAAAUCCCUGCGCGAGGUGCCCGCCGCCGUGACCUCGGGGCCCGGCCUCCGCCCGCUCGUCGCCCGCCCCGCCCCCAGGCCUGGCCCCGCGGGCGCCCCCCCGGCCCCUCCCCCCCCCCCCCCCGGCCGCGCGCGCUCGGCUCUGCCCUGCCCCGGGGGCUCGGGCCCAGGUGGGUCCGGACCGUGGCCCUGAGCGGCGCCCCAGCCCCCUGCGGAAGGGCCCCAAAGCCGAAGGAGCGGUUCGUCCCGGACACGGAAUUUGGAAUCGAGGAGCCCCUCGCAGUGACGGGGAGAAGAGCAGAGCCGGCCCGUCUGCCCCCCCCCCCCCGCCCCCGGGGUGUCUCCGGGAUGCGGAGGGUCACUCCGGGCGGCCUGGGCCUGGGACUGGCAACGCGGGCCUCGCAAUCUGCACCUUAAAGCCCGGCCGGGGCGCCCGCGGGAUGAGCUCGCGAGGCGCUGGUCCCCGCCACGCCCGACGCUGCAGAAAGCCCGACAGGCGAGGACAGCCUGGACCGAGGGCUGAGAUGGACCCAGGGGCGGAGGAGCUCCGGGGGAGCCGAAGCUAAAAACCGCUUCCAGGAAACUGAAACCUCUAGCGGAGGUUGUGCUGCUUCCUCUUCCUCGGCCUUUACCCCUGCCCUUUGCCCUAGGUCAUUUUCAUCCCUUCCAGUUUCCAGGGUUCAAGGAUUCCUAUCCCGGCAGCAGCUCCAGGGGUGCUGUGAUGCCAGGCUGGGCAGGAUCGGAUUGGCCCAUGUGACAUUUCUUCCCCCACUGUCCCCUCAAUGCCAGACACACUGUAGUUUAGACCCUUUCCAUGUGAGAGAGGGCCCCGGGGCCAUAGCCCUGGACCAAGAGGUCGGGAGGCCCUCUAGACUCCGCACAAAGGUCAAAAUAGGGAUGGGCCGGAAGAGAAAACGGAGGCAUCGUGUUCUGCUGAUUGCCAGGGAGGCUUCGCUCGUCUCCCUUGCUCCCAUGCAGCCGUUACCUGGAUUUCCCAGCUGCUGACCAGCAGCAAACCUGGGCCCAUCUUGCACAGUGGUGCAAGGAGAGCUUCGAAAGGAAGGGCUGACUGACCCCUGCAUCCUGUCCAUUGUCGUAGGUGAAGUAUCAGUACAUCACGGCCACUCGUGUGUGUGUGUGUGUGUGUGUGUGCAUGUGCGUGUGCAUGUGUGUGUGGCCCAUCCAAGUAAGAACGACUUGUACACUUCAAAUGAUUGGGGCAAAUGUCAUGGGGCACUUGGGUGGCUCAGUCGGUUAGGCGUCUGACUCUUGAUUUUGGCUUGGGUCAUGAUCUCAGGGUCGCGAGAUGUGAGAUGGAGCCCUGUGCCCAUCUCUGCGUUAGGCGUGGAGCCUGCUUAAGACUCCCUUCCCCUCUGCCCCUCUACCCCUCGCCCUCUCUAAAAUAAAUAAAUAAAAAUGGUGGAAAAACA
RNAcentral lists this long non-coding RNA (1495 nucleotides) under Canis lupus dingo (dingo). Its description in RNAcentral is "lncRNA (ENSCAFG00020024368.1)". The record is from RNAcentral. Lineage: Eukaryota; Metazoa; Chordata; Mammalia; Carnivora; Canidae.